This 911-nucleotide ribosomal RNA is filed under the name uncultured Bacteroidota bacterium. RNAcentral's name for it is "bacterial SSU rRNA". It matches the Rfam family "Bacterial small subunit ribosomal RNA", at positions 8 to 916 of the family's 1533-position model. The record is from RNAcentral. Lineage: Bacteria; Pseudomonadati; Bacteroidota.
AGAGUUUGAUCCUGGCUCAGGAUUAACGCUAGCGGCAGGCCUAAUACAUGCAAGUCGAACGGUAACAGGUCCAGCAAUGGAUGCUGACGAGUGGCGCACGGGUGCGUAACACGUAUGCAAUCUACCCUUAACCGGGGGAUAGCCCCGAGAAAUCGGGAUUAAUACCCCAUAACAUUGCGGGGGGGCAUCUCUCUGCAAUUAAAGUUCCGGCGGUUUUGGAUGAGCAUGCGCGACAUUAGCUAGUUGGUGAGGUAACGGCUCACCAAGGCAACGAUGUCUAGGGGUUCUGAGAGGAUUCACCCCCACACUGGUACUGAGACACGGACCAGACUCCAACGGGAGGCAGCAGUAAGGAAUAUUGGUCAAUGGACGCAAGUCUGAACCAGCCAUGCCGCGUGCAGGAAGACGGCCCUACGGGUUGUAAACUGCUUUUGUACGGGAAAAAACCCCCGGUUUCGCACCGGGGCUGAUGGUACCGUAAGAAUAAGCAUCGGCUAACUCCGUGCCAGCAGCCGCGGUAAUACGGAGGAUGCAAGCGUUAUCCGGAUUUAUUGGGUUUAAAGGGUGCGCAGGCGGAAUGAUAAGUCAGUGGUGAAAUCCUACGGCUCAACUGUAGAACUGCCAUUGAUACUGUCGUUCUUGAGUACACUUGAAGUGGGCGGAAUGUGUCAUGUAGCGGUGAAAUGCUUAGAUAUGACACAGAACACCGAUCGCGAAGGCAGCUCACUAACGUGAAACUGACGCUCAUGCACGAAAGCGUGGGGAUCAAACAGGAUUAGAUACCCUGGUAGUCCACGCUGUAAACGAUGAUUACUCGAUGUUGGCGAUACACUGUCAGCGUCUAAGCGAAAGCAUUAAGUAAUCCACCUGGGGAGUACGGCCGCAAGGUUGAAACUCAAAGGAAUUGACGG